This 467-nucleotide ribosomal RNA is filed under the name uncultured bacterium. RNAcentral's name for it is "partial 16S ribosomal RNA". It matches the Rfam family "Bacterial small subunit ribosomal RNA", at positions 28 to 507 of the family's 1533-position model. The record is from RNAcentral.
GACGAACGCUGGCGGCGUGCUUAACACAUGCAAGUCGAACGGAAAGGCCUCUUUCGGGGGGUACUCGAGUGGCGAACGGGUGAGUAACACGUGAGUAACCUGCCCUUGACUUUGGGAUAACUUCAGGAAACUGGGGCUAAUACCGGAUAGGAACUCCUGCUGCAUGGUGGGGGUUGGAAAGUUUCGGCGGUUGGGGAUGGACUCGCGGCUUAUCAGCUUGUUGGUGGGGUAGUGGCUUACCAAGGCUUUGACGGGUAGCCGGCCUGAGAGGGUGACCGGCCACAUUGGGACUGAGAUACGGCCCAGACUCCUACGGGAGGCAGCAGUGGGGAAUAUUGCACAAUGGGUGGAAGCCUGAUGCAGCAACGCCGUGUGCGGGAUGACGGCCUUCGGGUUGUAAACCGCUUUCGCUCAUGACGAAGCUUUGUGUGACGGUAGUGGGUAAAGAAGCACCGGCUAACUACGUG